This 84-nucleotide transfer RNA is filed under the name Rhizoctonia solani. RNAcentral describes it as "tRNA-Leu". It matches the Rfam family "tRNA". Rfam says of the family: Transfer RNA (tRNA) molecules are approximately 80 nucleotides in length. Lineage: Eukaryota; Fungi; Basidiomycota; Agaricomycetes; Cantharellales; Ceratobasidiaceae. The record is from RNAcentral.
GGCGAGGUAGCCAAGCGGUCUAAGGCGCUAGACUAAGGUGAAAUCUAGUUCUUCGGAGCGUGGGUUCGAAUCCCACCCUCGUCA